This 253-nucleotide ribosomal RNA is filed under the name uncultured bacterium. RNAcentral describes it as "partial 16S ribosomal RNA". It matches the Rfam family "Bacterial small subunit ribosomal RNA", at positions 524 to 776 of the family's 1533-position model. The record is from RNAcentral.
UACGGAGGGUGCAAGCGUUAUCCGGAUUCACUGGGUUUAAAGGGUGCGUAGGCGGGUUGGUAAGUCAGUGGUGAAAUCUUCAAGCUUAACUUGGAAACUGCCGUUGAUACUAUCAAUCUUGAAUGUUGUGGAGGUAAGCGGAAUAUGUCAUGUAGCGGUGAGAUGCUUAGAUAUGACAUAGAACACCAAUUGCGAAGGCAGCUCACUACACAGCGAUUGACGCUGAGGCACGAAAGCGUGGGGAUCAAACAGG